RNAcentral lists this ribosomal RNA (492 nucleotides) under uncultured bacterium. RNAcentral describes it as "partial 16S ribosomal RNA". It matches the Rfam family "Bacterial small subunit ribosomal RNA", at positions 29 to 507 of the family's 1533-position model. The record is from RNAcentral.
AGUGAACGCUGGCGGUAGGCCUAACACAUGCAAGUCGAACGGCAGCACAGUAAGAGCUUGCUCUUACGGGUGGCGAGUGGCGGACGGGUGAGGAAUACAUCGGAAUCUACUUUUUCGUGGGGGAUAACGUAGGGAAACUUACGCUAAUACCGCAUACGACCUACGGGUGAAAGCAGGGGAUCUUCGGACCUUGCGCGAUUGAAUGGGCCGAUGUCGGAUUAACUAGUUGGCGGGGUAAAGGCCCACCAAGGCGACGAUCCGUAGCUGGUCUGAGAGGAUGAUCAGCCACACUGGAACUGAGACACGGUCCAGACUCCUACGGGAGGCAGCAGUGGGGAAUAUUGGACAAUGGGCGCAAGCCUGAUCCAGCCAUACCGCGUGGGUGAAGAAGGCCUUCGGGUUGUAAAGCCCUUUUGUUGGGAAAGAAAAGCAGCAGGUUAAUACCCCGCUGUUCUGACGGUACCCAAAGAAUAAGCACCGGCUAACUUCGUG